This is a non-coding RNA of Acanthoscelides obtectus, 73 nucleotides long. The record is from the annotation of a GenBank genome assembly. Lineage: Eukaryota; Metazoa; Arthropoda; Insecta; Coleoptera; Chrysomelidae.
GGUGCUGUAGACUAAUUGGUUAGGUCGGUUCCACGCAAUGGAGAUGAUGCGGGUUCGAAAGCCGCCGGUGUCC